UAUCAUUCUUUGGGUUUUAAUUAUCUUGAUGUAUUUACAGCAAUAGUGAUCCUAGCUAACAUCUCUGGCUUUAAAUGAAAAUUCCUAUUAAAAAAAAAAAAAAAAAAAAAAAGAGCAGAUGGGAUGGAAAAAAUCUUUUACAAUUUCUCAGUUAAUGGCUUUGUCACUUUGCUUUUGCCUUCCACUCUAAGCUGACAAUACUCUUUUAUCCGGAACAGUGGUGCUUGAGUGUUUCACAGUCAAAUGCUUGGUCUCCCAUGCUUAUUUGACAAGGUUCUUUCCUUGGACUGGGGAGAUCUCUGCUACAUGACAGGGGAGAGUGAGAGAGAGGAGUUGAAGGCCUAGAAGAAGCUAGCCUAUGUUGGAAAUUGCUUCCCCAAUUUGUUAAUUUACCCUAUAUAACAACAACAAAGCUUUACUCCCAAAAAUUUGGGGUUAGUUAUGGAUCUUUAACUGUAAUUGGGGUUGGUCCUAUGUAUACAUCUCUGCCAUUCAAUUAUAUCCAAAAUCAUACCUUUGCCA
Quercus robur (English oak) is the source of this 522-nucleotide long non-coding RNA. RefSeq lists it as uncharacterized. The transcript has 2 exons. The record is from RefSeq and is a predicted model, not a curated record. NCBI's taxonomy places the organism in Eukaryota, Viridiplantae, Streptophyta, Magnoliopsida, Fagales, Fagaceae.